ACCCAGCUAAAAUGGGCAUUCUUAGUUUGCAUUUCUCUCUCUUUUCCUUCAAACCCACAUGACAGUCUGAUUCUUAAGAUUUCCCAAUUAAAAAUUAAUCAGCUGAGAAAAUGGAACAAUUUUUUAUUAUCCCUUUUGGUCAAUAUUUGAAAGACCAAUUAAAUAGACUUCCAUGACUAUACAACACCAGAAGAGGAAAUCCAAUCAAAACCAAACCCCAUAUGAAAAACAUGUAAAUCAAGCAAACUUACCAAUACCCAAGAUCAAAUUUUUCCAGCUUAGCAAAAUCCAUAAUCUCAAAUAAGGCCAUAAUAACCAAAAAAGCACCAACCUUGUGAGAAAUCCAAGCUUCUUCCUGUCAUUCUAGCCAAGAACCAAGAAACCAACUUGUGGGCACAUUUUGAAUCCGCAAAAUAUAACUUCCUUUG
RNAcentral lists this long non-coding RNA (428 nucleotides) under Panax ginseng (ginseng). Its description in RNAcentral is "long non-coding RNA (PGIN_LNC007750)". Lineage: Eukaryota; Viridiplantae; Streptophyta; Magnoliopsida; Apiales; Araliaceae. The record is from RNAcentral.